GCUGAUUGGUUAAUCCCAACUGUCAGUCCUUUACACAAGGGAUUAUGGUAGAAAAUGUGACUACCCACGUGACCUGGAAGGUCACAGUAGAAACAUUAGUCAUGUGACCUAAGGUCCUGCAGACACUAGAUAAAUACAUUUACACUAAUUAUAGAUAUGUAACACACAAAAUUAAAGAAUGAAGAGGUGACUAGGGGUUAUCUCAGAAAGCGGCCCCCAACGGUACUAAGGAACUCUGACCUUGGGGACCCAGCACACAAGGCUUUUAUUGUGAGUACUAUGGAAACAGAUCACCUAAUUGAUUUGUCUGCUUCGAGUACUGUGUAUAAUUGCUCAGCUUGCAUAAAGACAGCCAAGGCUAUAGCAGGCGUUCUUCCACUCCUGCACACAGGACAUGCUAAGCCCCACCUCAACUUCCUGUAAUUUUUUUCCUGGGUUUGUCUCUUACUAGAAACAAAAAUUCCCAUACAACAGAUAGUGGACAUAGAGUGCAAAAGAAUAGGGACGCCUAGCGGCCACGAUUUUAGGGUCUUCAUUGAAUGCCGAAUUUAUGAUGGAUCACGUAAUCAUUUUAUCAAUUUACUGUUGACUCUACAUCACAUGGGGAAAGACCCUAUUUCCUAAGAUCACCCUUGAUGGGAGAUGAAAAAUGAG
Hyla sarda is the source of this 654-nucleotide long non-coding RNA. RefSeq lists it as uncharacterized. The transcript is spliced from 4 exons. Lineage: Eukaryota; Metazoa; Chordata; Amphibia; Anura; Hylidae. The record is from RefSeq and is a predicted model, not a curated record.